AGAGUUUGAUCCUGGCUCAGAACGAACGUUAGCGGCGCGCCUAACACAUGCAAGUCGCACGAGAAGGGGCUUCGGCCCUGGUACAGUGGCGCACGGGUGAGUAACACGUGGGUAAUGUUCCCUCAGGCGGGGGAUAACCUUCCGAAAGGAGGGCUAAUACCGCAUAUGACCACGGCCUCGAAAGAGAUCGCGGUAAAAGC
This 200-nucleotide ribosomal RNA is filed under the name uncultured bacterium. Its description in RNAcentral is "partial 16S ribosomal RNA". It matches the Rfam family "Bacterial small subunit ribosomal RNA", at positions 8 to 207 of the family's 1533-position model. The record is from RNAcentral.